UACAGAGGUCUCAAGCGUUGUUCGGAUUCAUUGGGCGUAAAGGGUGCGUAGGCGGCGCGGUAAGUCGGGUGUGAAAUCUCGAGGCUCAACCUCGAGCGGUCGUUGGAUACCGCCUGGCUAGAGUCCGGAAGAGGAGAGUGGAAUUCCUGGUGUAGCGGUGAAAUGCGCAGAUAUCAGGAAGAACACCCAUGGCGAAAGCAGCUCUCUGGGACGGUACUGACGCUGAGGCGCGAAAGCGUGGGGAGCGAACAGG
Molecule: ribosomal RNA, 253 nt
Filed under: uncultured bacterium
Lineage: Bacteria
Description: partial 16S ribosomal RNA
Rfam family: Bacterial small subunit ribosomal RNA
Source: RNAcentral